ACACACUCCACCCCCUGUGAACAAACUCAUUGGUGGAACAUGAAGGACCCUGGGACCAAGACCUUGAGCUGUGUAAAGGACCCCCAAAAAAUGGAGCUGCUUCCCGUUCUCCCAGAACAUUGAUUUUUGUGACCACAGUUACAAACCGCCUCCAGAGAGCCUGUUCUGCACCAGACCAGUGGAGCCAGACUGCAGCUAGAGCCCAUCAUCAUCCUCAUCUGGUUGUAAGUAGGCA
This is a non-coding RNA of Pelobates cultripes (western spadefoot toad), 235 nucleotides long. NCBI's taxonomy places the organism in Eukaryota, Metazoa, Chordata, Amphibia, Anura, Pelobatidae. The record is from the annotation of a GenBank genome assembly.